Unclassified non-coding RNA from Cercocebus atys (sooty mangabey), 242 nucleotides. Its record names the gene 7SK. It matches the Rfam family "7SK RNA". From Rfam's summary of the family: 7SK was discovered as an abundant small nuclear RNA in the mid-70s but a possible function has only recently been suggested. Two independent studies have found that 7SK RNA binds the CDK9/cyclin T complex (known as elongation factor P-TEFb). NCBI's taxonomy places the organism in Eukaryota, Metazoa, Chordata, Mammalia, Primates, Cercopithecidae. The record is from Ensembl.
AAACGUUAAGGUGGUCUAGUUGUAACAUCUAUCACUCUGCUGAUUACCAGGUUAUUUUGACUAAAUAGCUGGCCAAAGUUGGAGUCUCUUUCCUUCUUUAUCAUAUUACGUACAACACUCCCAAAACGUGAAGCUUGGUCCAAAAGUAUCCAGACAGUAGAGGAUGGUUUCUUAAUCCCUUGGUAAAAAUAACCCUCUUUCAAACCUGACCCACAACCCUGUCUGAGGUAUCAAAUAUACAG